Puccinia graminis f. sp. tritici is the source of this 109-nucleotide transfer RNA. It matches the Rfam family "tRNA". Rfam says of the family: Transfer RNA (tRNA) molecules are approximately 80 nucleotides in length. Their secondary structure includes four short double-helical elements and three loops (D, anti-codon, and T loops). Lineage: Eukaryota; Fungi; Basidiomycota; Pucciniomycetes; Pucciniales; Pucciniaceae. The record is from Rfam.
GACAACGUGGCCGAGCGGUUAAGGCGAUUGACUAGAAUCUGUUUCUAAGACAUCUGUGUCUAUCAUCAAUUGGAGUUUCUCCGCGUAGGUUCAAAUCCUGCCGUUGUCG